Molecule: ribosomal RNA, 632 nt
Filed under: uncultured bacterium
Lineage: Bacteria
Description: bacterial SSU rRNA
Rfam family: Bacterial small subunit ribosomal RNA
Source: RNAcentral
CCUACGGGAGGCAGCAGUGGGGAAUAUUGGACAAUGGGCGCAAGCCUGAUCCAGCCAUACCGCGUGGGUGAAGAAGGCCUUCGGGUUGUAAAGCCCUUUUGUUGGGAAAGAAAAGCAGUCGAUUAAUACUCGGUUGUUCUGACGGUACCCAAAGAAUAAGCACCGGCUAACUUCGUGCCAGCAGCCGCGGUAAUACGAAGGGUGCAAGCGUUACUCGGAAUUACUGGGCGUAAAGCGUGCGUAGGUGGUUGUUUAAGUCUGUUGUGAAAGCCCUGGGCUCAACCUGGGAAUUGCAGUGGAUACUGGGCGACUAGAGUGUGGUAGAGGGUAGUGGAAUUCCCGGUGUAGCAGUGAAAUGCGUAGAGAUCGGGAGGAACAUCCAUGGCGAAGGCAGCUACCUGGACCAACACUGACACUGAGGCACGAAAGCGUGGGGAGCAAACAGGAUUAGAUACCCUGGUAGUCCACGCCCUAAACGAUGCGAACUGGAUGUUGGGUGCAAAUUUGGCACGCAGUAUCGAAGCUAAACGCGUUAAAGUUCGCCGCCUGGGGAGUACGGUCGCAAGACUGAAAACUCAAAANAGAAGUUAGAGGCGUGAGAGUAGCCGAACGGACGACACGAGGGAGGAGGG